UUGGCGUAGUGGAUACUACCCCUGCCUUCUACGCCGAGGGUCGUGGGUUCGAUUCCCACCGACCCAAA
Molecule: non-coding RNA, 68 nt
Organism: Phthorimaea operculella (potato tuberworm)
Lineage: Eukaryota; Metazoa; Arthropoda; Insecta; Lepidoptera; Gelechiidae
Source: the annotation of a GenBank genome assembly